AACGAACGCUGGCGGCAGGCUUAAUACAUGCAAGUCGAACGGGCGCAGCAAUGCGUCAGUGGCAGACGGGUGAGUAACACGUGGGAACCUUCCUCGUUGUACGGAACAACUCAGGGAAACUUGAGCUAAUACCGUAUAAGUCCGAGAGGAGAAAGAUUUAUCGCAAUGAGACGGGCCCGCGUCGGAUUAGGUAGUUGGUGAGGUAACGGCUCACCAAGCCGACGAUCCGUAGCNGAUCUGAGAGGAUGAUCAGCCACACUGGGACUGAGACACGGCCCAGACUCCUACGGGAGGCAGCAGUAGGGAAUCUUGGACAAUGGGCGCAAGCCUGAUCCAGCCAUGCCGCGUGAGUG
Molecule: ribosomal RNA, 353 nt
Filed under: uncultured bacterium
Lineage: Bacteria
Description: bacterial SSU rRNA
Rfam family: Bacterial small subunit ribosomal RNA
Source: RNAcentral